GCCCUUCACUACGGAAUAGCCUCUGGAAACGGAGAGUAAUACCGUAUACGCCCUUUUGGGGAAAGAUUUAUCGGUGAAGGAUUAGCCCGCGUCUGAUUAGAUAGUUGGUGGGGUAACGGCCUACCAAGUCGACGAUCAGUAGCUGGUUUGAGAGGAUGAUCAGCAACACUGGGACUGAGACACGGCCCAGACUCCUACGGGAGGCAGCAGUGGGGAAUCUUAGACAAUGGGCGCAAGUGAUCUAGCCAUGCCGCGUGAGUGACGAAGGCCUUAGGGUCGUAAAGCUCUUUCGCCAGGGAUGAUAAUGACAGUACCUGGUAAAGAAACCCCGGCUAACUCCGUGCCAGCAGCCGCGGUAAUACGGAGGGGGUUAGCGUUGUUCGGAAUUACUGGGCGUAAAGCGCGCGUAGGGGAUUGGAAAGUUGGGGGUGAAAUCCCGGGGCUCAACCCCGAACGCCUCCAAAACUAUCAGUCUAGAGUUCGAGAGAGGUGAGUGGAAUUCCAAGUGUAGAGGUGAAAUUCGUAGAUAUUUGGAGGAACACCAGUGGCGAAGGGGCUCACUGGCUCGAUACUGACGCUGAGGUGCGAAAGUGUGGGGAGCAAACAGGAUUAGAUACCCUGGUAGUCCACACCGUAAACGAUGAAUGCCAGACGUCGGGGGGCUUGCCUUCGGUGUCACACCUAACGGAUUAAGCAUUCCGCCUGGGGAGUACGGUCGCAAGAUUAAAACUCAAAGGAAUUGACGGGGG
Molecule: ribosomal RNA, 749 nt
Filed under: uncultured bacterium
Lineage: Bacteria
Description: bacterial SSU rRNA
Rfam family: Bacterial small subunit ribosomal RNA
Source: RNAcentral